AGCAAAUAUUCAAAUGAGAACUUUGAAGACCGAAGUGGAGAAAGGUUCCGCGUGAACAGCAAUUGGACGCGGGUUAGUCGAUCCUGAGAUUCGGGGCAGUCCUGUGUCCGAGUGCGCAGUGCGCAGUGCAUCGAAAGGGGAUCGGGUCAAUAUUCCCGAACCGAGUCGUGGGAGUGGGCGGCGACGCACCGAAUCCGGAGACACCGGCGGGAGCCCGGGAAGAGUUUUCUUUUCUUUUUAACGACCCGCCCGCCCUGAAAUCGCAUUACGCGGAGAUAGGGCCCAGCGGUCGGCAAAGCGUCGCACGUCUUGCGGCGUCCGGUGCGCCCCCGACGGUCCUUGAAAAUCCGGAGGAGCGAGUACUCAUCACGCUCGGUCGUACUCAUAACCGCAUCAGGUCUCCAAGGUGAACAGCCUCUGGUCGAUGGAACAAUGUAGGUAAGGGAAGUCGGCAAAACGGAUCCGUAACUUCGGGAAAAGGAUUGGCUCUGAGGGUCGGGCUCGGGGGUCUGCGUGCGGACCUCGACGGGCUGUCGGCGGUCUGCCCGAGCUGCUCGCGCGGCGAGGGCGGACCGUCGCGUGCCUGUCGGGCGAAGGGCGUAGAAUGGCGCGUGGCGGGGCGCCGGGCGGGCGGGGCGCAUAUAUAUAUAUAUAUAUAUCUGGCCUUCGCGGGUCCGGUGUGUGUGUGUGUGUGUGUCUCUUUGCUCGCACGGUCUUGCUUGCGCGCGCGCUUUUUCCUCGGGCGGUGAACGGCCG
This 756-nucleotide ribosomal RNA is filed under the name Dumortiera hirsuta. Its description in RNAcentral is "eukaryotic LSU rRNA". It matches the Rfam family "Eukaryotic large subunit ribosomal RNA", at positions 1462 to 2105 of the family's 3401-position model. Lineage: Eukaryota; Viridiplantae; Streptophyta; Marchantiopsida; Marchantiales; Dumortieraceae. The record is from RNAcentral.